This 472-nucleotide ribosomal RNA is filed under the name uncultured bacterium. Its description in RNAcentral is "bacterial SSU rRNA". It matches the Rfam family "Bacterial small subunit ribosomal RNA", at positions 791 to 1268 of the family's 1533-position model. The record is from RNAcentral.
UAGUCCACGCCGUAAACGAUGGACACUAGUUGUUGGAUUUAUUCAGUGACUAAGCGAAAGUGAUAAGUGUCCCACCUGGGGAGUACGAUCGCAAGAUUGAAACUCAAAGGAAUUGACGGGGGCCCGCACAAGCGGUGGAGCAUGUGGUUUAAUUCGAUGAUACGCGAGGAACCUUACCAGGGCUUAAAUGUAGGAUGCAUUAGGUAGAGAUACUUAUUUCUUCGGACUUCUUACAAGGUGCUGCAUGGUUGUCGUCAGCUCGUGCCGUGAGGUGUCAGGUUAAGUCCUAUAACGAGCGCAACCCCUGUCGUUAGUUGCCAGCAAGUAAAGUUGGGGACUCUAACGAGACUGCCGGUGCAAACCGCGAGGAAGGUGGGGAUGACGUCAAAUCAUCACGGCCCUUACGUCCUGGGGCUACACACGUACUACAAUGGGUAUGGGACAGAGAGCAGCCACUGCGUGAGCAGGGAGC